GGGCCCGCACAAGCGGUGGAGUAUGUGGUUUAAUUCGAUGCAACGCGAAGAACCUUACCAGGGUUUGACAUCCUGCGAACCUCUGGGAAACCGGAGGGUGCCUUCGGGAACGCAGUGACAGGUGGUGCAUGGCUGUCGUCAGCUCGUGUCGUGAGAUGUUGGUUAAGUCCCGCAACGAGCGCAACCCACAUCCCUAGUUGCCAGCAGUUCGGCUGGGCACUCUAUGGAAACUGCCCGUGAUAAGCGGGAGGAAGGUGUGGAUGACGUCAAGUCCUCAUGGCCCUUACGGGUUGGGCUACACACGUGCUACAAUGGUAGUGACAAUGGGU
This 329-nucleotide ribosomal RNA is filed under the name uncultured bacterium. Its description in RNAcentral is "bacterial SSU rRNA". It matches the Rfam family "Bacterial small subunit ribosomal RNA", at positions 917 to 1247 of the family's 1533-position model. The record is from RNAcentral.